This is a long non-coding RNA of Myotis myotis, 2044 nucleotides long. RefSeq lists it as uncharacterized. NCBI's taxonomy places the organism in Eukaryota, Metazoa, Chordata, Mammalia, Chiroptera, Vespertilionidae. The record is from RefSeq and is a predicted model, not a curated record. The transcript is spliced from 3 exons.
CGUCUUUUGGGUGACACAGUUCAACUUGUAACCAUUACCAAAUUCAUGUCUCAUUACUCAGCAUCACAGACCCCGGCUUCACAGGGCCACGGUGCCUGGGGUGUCAGCUCUGAUGGGUCUCUGGUGUCUUAGGGUUGAGCGCUGGCCUAUUGACAAGGCUCAGGGGAAGGCAGGGCAUCUCCAUGGCAGAAGUCAGCACUGCACGGGGCACAAAUGGAGCCAAACUUGCAGGGCUCAGCUCCAGCUCCACACCCCACUGUCUGUGACUCCUCGCUUUUCUUCGCCUCUCUGGGCCUCAGUUUCCCCAUCUGUGAAAUACGGGCCACGGUGGUACACGCUCCAUAGGACAGCACUCAGAAUGGCACCUGUGAAGCUCUGAAUACGUGUGCACUGUUAUUGGCCUAGUCACGCCCACUCACAGGUUCACAGCUUUGCUCCUUUUGGGUGAGAAAGGCUGUCCUACUGGAAGUACCAGAAAGUUCCCCCUCCCCCUGGGCCUGGUCAUGGCGGAAAAAGGAAGCUUAUAGUCCGCCUCGGUCUCCAGAAAACACAGCGAGCUCCUGGUGAGGACGGAGGAGGCCUCUGCCCAGGCGGAUUGUAGGCCGGGGCGUUUGCUUUCAAACCUGCCCCGCUCUGGUGAACAAGCUCUCUUUUGGCUGCUGGCGCUGCGUCCGGCUUGGAAGGUGAUUUCCCGUCAUUUGCUGCCUGUGCAGCUGGCAGUUUUUUUUCGGACACUCAUGACCCGUGGAGAGCUAUCAGGGCCCAGAGGCAGAAGCUGGGACCAGAGCCUUUCCAGCCAGGACUAGGACCGGCUGGCCGGAGAGGGCAGCCUCCCGGGGGCCAGCUGGUGGGGUAGAGGCCGGCAGAUGCCAGGCCUGGCCUUCGCCAUCCAAGCUGGCAGGACAAGGCCUGUCUGCCCCUCGUGAGCUCCUCACACACUGGACCUGGGGAAGCCAGGACCUCCUGCAUCCAGACCUGUCCUCCGCGAUGGGGCGGCGUGGCCAGGCCGGGCCCUGAGCAGUACCACCGCUGCUGCCACUGUCAUUAGCGCCUGGGAUGCAGGCCUGGGUUGGAAAGACUGAGCCGCACCCCAGGCCUCUCCGACCCUGAGUUUGUUCAUCUGGGAGUUGAAGCAGGAGGGGCCGGGCCCUGCACUCUAGGCCCUUCACGGAGACAUCUUUUUUGCCCUCAGUCAUCGUCUUCCCCUUUCCAGGCCUGAGGACAGCAGCGUUCUUCUUGGGUUUUUUUACUUUUUUUUUUUUUUUAAGAAGGUGGAGAUUCCUAGAAAAGACAAAAUUACUGAGACAGAAAGCAGACCUGUGGUUGCCUGGGGCUGGGGUGGGGUUGACUGAAGAUGGGCCCACAGCGUGAUGGAAGCGUUUGAAGACAGUUUGUGUCGGUGGUUGAGCUGCUUUGGACAUUCACGCAUCAAACAGUGUGCCUGCCGUGGUGCUGCUCUGCCUGGAAGACCGUAACCAGGUUUCUUCUCAUCAUGCAGGUCUUGUGCUAAGUUCCUAGCGCUGCCAUCACCAAUGAUCACAAACUCGGCAGCUUAAUGCAGUAGAAUGAUAUCAUCUCACAGUUCUGAAGGCCAGAAGUUCAAAAUGAAGGUGUCAACUCGGUUGGUUCCUUCUGGUGGCUCGAAGGGACGAUUCAUUCCAUGCCCCUUCUCACUGCUGGUGGCUGCGGGCAACCUUGGGGCUUCAGAAUUCAGGUCACCAAGAAGAACCUGUGGCCAGGCCGGGGCCUGUGACUGCUCCAUGGAGCCCAUGGUGUGUGUCCAGCGUCCUUCCUCUCCGGACCUUGGUGCCUUCAACCCUGGCAGUGGAGAUGCCAACACCUGCCCUCGGGCUUUUUCUGACGACUGAGGGACUCAAUACAGGUCACACGCCCAAGACAGUAAGCCUUUGGAAGGACUCAGGAGUUGGCAGUGUGUAUCACUCAUUCCCUUCAGAAGUUGUGUUGUAUAGUGUUUCUUGGAAUGAACUAGAGGGAAAUGUUCCCCCAAAUAUGUAAAUAAAUAACACAACUCUGAAAACUGAAA